RNAcentral lists this ribosomal RNA (497 nucleotides) under uncultured bacterium. Its description in RNAcentral is "partial 16S ribosomal RNA". It matches the Rfam family "Bacterial small subunit ribosomal RNA", at positions 28 to 507 of the family's 1533-position model. The record is from RNAcentral.
GAUGAACGCUGGCGGCGUGCCUAAUACAUGCAAGUCGAGCGAACGGACGAGAAGCUUGCUUCUCUGAUGUUAGCGGAGGACGGGUGUGUAACACGUGUAUACCCUACCUAUAAUACUGGUAUAACUUCGGGAAACCGUAGCUAAUACCGUAUAAUAUUUUGAACCGCAUGGUUCAAAAGUGAAAGACGGUCUUGCUGUCACUUAUAGAUGGAUCCGCGCUGCAUUAGCUAGUUGGUAAGGUAACGGCUUACCAAGGCAACUAUGCAUAGCCGACGUGAGAGGGGGAUAGGCCACACGGGAGCGGGAACGGGGACAAGGCUCCUGAGAGAGGGAGCAGAAGGGAAUCGGACGCAAUGGGCGAGAGCAUGACGGAGUGAGCGCGCGUGAGUGGUGAAGGUCUUCGGUUCGGAAAAAUGUGUUAUUAGGGAAGAACAGAUGUGGAAGGAGAUGUAGACUUCUUGACGGUAACGAAUAAGGAAGCAACGGCUAACUACGUG